RNAcentral lists this ribosomal RNA (366 nucleotides) under uncultured eukaryote. RNAcentral's name for it is "partial 18S ribosomal RNA". It matches the Rfam family "Eukaryotic small subunit ribosomal RNA", at positions 592 to 976 of the family's 1831-position model. The record is from RNAcentral.
CAAUAGCGUAUAUUAACGUUGUUGCAGUUAAAAAGCUCGUAGUUGGAUUUCUGGAGGGAGCGUCGGCCCGUAUUUACGAGUGCGUGACGUCUCUGUCCAUCCUUGCGGGAAGGCACGGCAUUGAUUUGUUGUGUCGGAUCGCAUCAUUUACUGUGAAAAAAUUAGAGUGUUCAAAGCAGGCUUUCGCUUGAAUACAUUAGCAUGGAAUAAUAAGAUAGGACUCUGGUGCUAUUUUGUUGGUUGAGCCUAAAGUAAUGAUUAAUAGGGAUAGUUGGGGGCACCUGUAUUGCGUUGUCAGAGGUGAAAUUCUUGGAUUUACGCAAGACAAACAGCUGCGAAANCGNNNGCCAAGGAUGUUUUCAUNAA